Molecule: long non-coding RNA, 2016 nt
Organism: Balaenoptera musculus (blue whale)
Lineage: Eukaryota; Metazoa; Chordata; Mammalia; Artiodactyla; Balaenopteridae
Exons: 3
Source: RefSeq, a predicted model, not a curated record
GCAAAGCUGAGGAACAGAUGCUGGAAUGCUGUGACCCUGAGACGUGACUGCGCCCUGCCAGGCCCAACAGCUGCCUCUCCAGAUGACACAUUUACCCCUUCUCCAACCGCAAGUGUACUGGCAUGUAACUGCAUCAGAUCCGGACACACGUGCAUGUGAGCAGAUAGAAGAAUCAGUGCAGAGACUCAAAACUGCCUUGGGGCUCAUCAAGCCUGAGUAACAAAAUAAAUCAGAGAAAUGAAAAAAGGAGCAGAAAAUAUAGGACAAAAUAUUACAGUCUUCUCAAAAUAGUUGCGGAAUUGAGGCAACAUUCCCUGGGAGCUCCGCCAUCUCCGUGCUGACCAGCCGAGGCCUGGCCCAUCUGCCUCGAAGCCCUCAUUCAGUGCACUUAUUAGACCAGAGUCAUCAGCUACCUGACUGUCUCCUGUGAGGCCAUGGGAGCUUCUGGUGCUCUAUCUGCAGCCCUUUCUCUACCCAAUACCCCUGCGCCUCCACCACCACCAUUUAACUCUGUGUGGCUGCAUCCUCUGAGGCUGGCUUCUCUCAGGAAGAGGGACACGGAUUCUUUUUGGCUCAGCUUCUCCCUCUGCUGCAACAUAUCUGGGCCCGCUAUAUCAUUUCCUCUCUCUCAAAAGCGUAUGUAGAAAGGAGGAAGACUUGCAUAAGGCUCCCCAGGCUCUAGAACCAGAAAGCCUUUCACCUGUUUUCUGUGAGGUGGCGGUUCCCUCACACCACAUCACAGCUUGUUUACAGUACAACUCCUAGCCAAGCUUUGCUCUUGUGAUAUGUAGAGAUGAAUUAGGUGAACUUUGAAAAUCCCUUUUCUCUCUUGAGAAAAUUUUCUUUUCCAGACGCAUGUUGGCUACCCCAGGUUUUACAGGUGAGUACACCUCACUUGUGAGGCAGGAAUUUAACGUACUCUCUUGAGGUGGGAGAUACCCAGAUACCACAGUUGUCUGCAGCUGAUGAGAAAGAAAAAGAGGCUCAUUGGGGUCCUCAGUCCCCCACCUGCCUCCGUGUGACCUCCCCCAGGGCAGCUUGCCGUCCCCUCCCCAAUGGGGUGCACUCCCAGGCUUCAGCCUGCUCACCUCUCCAAGUCUAUCCUUUUGUCUUAUAACAUCUUCCCCCAUUGCCUCCCAUUUUCUCUUCUACCUCUAGACUGUAAGUCAGUCUAGGACUGUAAGUUACUUACAUGCAAUGCCCUGAGAUUUUGGAUUGUCAUCUUAUUCCUUUCUUUAUGACGGCUGUCCACUUUUAGACAAAAGGAAGGAAGAACCACUCUCCCUACAAUAGGAAGCUCUGGGCAGAGCUUCCUCUUUGAGAGAAGAGGAAAAGAGGAGGCAAUCUCUCAUUUCUGAAAUCUGUUGUAAGACUACAUUAUCAAAGGAAGAGAAGAAAUACUUAAAAGGAGGAAAGGAGACUGCUAAAAUUUAUGAUCUAUGUUUUUCAACAGUUAUUUCCCUCAAACCUUUCCGCUUACAACAAGGAUGAUGGAUGCUCGUCUGUGUGUGUGUGUGUGUGUGUAAGUGAUGAUGGAAACGUCAUUUGCUUGAAAUCUCAUGUUUUAGUUUAAAAGUGUAAGAGAAAAUUUUAUUCUAAUCUAGAACAUAUCUUUGUUUUAAUAGGAAAAAAUGACCUCAUAAAGUAAAUUUUCCAUGUUUAUCUUUUGGUAGAACUCCAACCCCUGGUUGAAAAUCACAGCCUUAUUCUCUUUACUGAUGUGGGUGGGUGGAAGAAAUGGCUAGCUGUCCACCAAGAUUCAUGCUCCCCUUACACAGUGUAGAGUCAUUUUGGGGAAGGAGCUGAAGCCAGGGACUACAUUUCUCACCAAUCACCUCUGACUCCACCUUCUCCACCAGCAUCUGAGUAUGAACUUGUGCGACUUGUUCUUGCCAAUUAACUGUGAGCAGAAGAAAUGUUUGUUCCCCGUGUUCCAGAACACUGGGAUUAAGAAGCCAGUUUGCACCUCACACUAGUCAGAAUGGCCAUCAUUAAAAAGUCUACAAACAAUAAAUG